This 730-nucleotide ribosomal RNA is filed under the name uncultured bacterium. RNAcentral describes it as "bacterial SSU rRNA". It matches the Rfam family "Bacterial small subunit ribosomal RNA", at positions 771 to 1501 of the family's 1533-position model. The record is from RNAcentral.
AACAGGAUUAGAUACCCUGGUAGUCCACGCCGUAAACGAUGUCGACUUGGAGGUUGUGCCCUUGAGGCGUGGCUUCCGGAGCUAACGCGUUAAGUCGACCGCCUGGGGAGUACGGCCGCAAGGUUAAGACUCAAAUGAAUUGACGGGGGCCCGCACAAGCGGUGGAGCAUGUGGUUUAAUUCGAUGCAACGCGAAGAACCUUACCUGGUCUUGACAUCCACGGAAGUUUUCAGAGAUGAGAAUGUGCCUUCGGGAACCGUGAGACAGGUGCUGCAUGGCUGUCGUCAGCUCGUGUUGUGAAAUGUUGGGUUAAGUCCCGCAACGAGCGCAACCCUUAUCCUUUGUUGCCAGCGGUCCGGCCGGGAACUCAAAGGAGACUGCCAGUGAUAAACUGGAGGAAGGUGGGGAUGACGUCAAGUCAUCAUGGCCCUUACGACCAGGGCUACACACGUGCUACAAUGGCGCAUACAAAGAGAAGCGACCUCGCGAGAGCAAGCGGACCUCAUAAAGUGCGUCGUAGUCCGGAUUGGAGUCUGCAACUCGACUCCAUGAAGUCGGAAUCGCUAGUAAUCGUGGAUCAGAAUGCCACGGUGAAUACGUUCCCGGGCCUUGUACACACCGCCCGUCACACCAUGGGAGUGGGUUGCAAAAGAAGUAGGUAGCUUAACCUUCGGGAGGGCGCUUACCACUUUGUGAUUCAUGACUGGGGUGAAGUCGUAACAAGGUAACC